This 387-nucleotide unclassified non-coding RNA is filed under the name soil metagenome. RNAcentral's name for it is "partial contains 5.8S ribosomal RNA, internal transcribed spacer 2, and large subunit ribosomal RNA". The stretch from base 1 to 120 matches the Rfam family "5.8S ribosomal RNA", at positions 35 to 154 of the family's 154-position model. The record is from RNAcentral.
GAUGAAGAACGUAGCGAAAUGCGAUAAGUAAUGUGAAUUGCAGAAUUCAGUGAAUCAUCGAAUCUUUGAACGCACAUUGCGCCCAUUAGUAUUCUAGUGGGCAUGCCUGUUCGAGCGUCAUUAAUUCCACUUAAGCCCUGCUUAGUGUUGGGAAUCUACUCUAGUGGUGCUACCCUGGAGCUACCCCUGAAAGGGGGCUGGCCCGGUAGUUACCCUGUAGUUCCUCAAAGAUAGUGCGCGGAGUUGCGUGGUCCGCUGAGCUUAGUAACUAUACACCUAGCUUUUGAGUGUCCCGCGGCGCCUGCCGUUUAAACCCCAUCUUUUAAUGGUUGACCUCGGAUCAGGUAGGAAUACCCGCUGAACUUAAGCAUAUCAAUAAGCGGAGGA